CAUCAAAAAUUGAAAUCUCACUUAUAUUUUGAAUGAUCUAAUAGUGAUGAUAAAUAUAGAGCCUAAAACCAUGAAUCAGUCUAUAAUAGUGUCUAUGGUAAGAGCCAUGAUUGUUAAUAGAUAAUCGAUAAUGGAUCUGACUUUGAUUACACUCAAUUUAUACUACUAAGUAUAACUAAUGAUAAACAGUGUUUUCAAACAUUAUUAAAUUUCCAGUUCAGUUUA
Molecule: non-coding RNA, 225 nt
Organism: Cinara cedri
Lineage: Eukaryota; Metazoa; Arthropoda; Insecta; Hemiptera; Aphididae
Source: the annotation of a GenBank genome assembly